This 253-nucleotide ribosomal RNA is filed under the name uncultured bacterium. Its description in RNAcentral is "partial 16S ribosomal RNA". It matches the Rfam family "Bacterial small subunit ribosomal RNA", at positions 524 to 776 of the family's 1533-position model. The record is from RNAcentral.
UACGGAGGGUGCAAGCGUUACUCGGAAUCACUGGGCGUAAAGAGCGCGUAGGCGGGAUAGCAAGUCAGAUGUGAAAUCCUAUGGCUUAACCAUAGAACUGCAUUUGAAACUGUUAUUCUAGAGUAUGGGAGAGGUAGGUGGAAUUCUUGGUGUAGCGGUGAAAUGCGUAGAUAUCAGGAGGAACAUCGGUGGCGAAAGCGCUUUACUGGACCAUUAUUGACGCUGAGGAACGAAAGCCAGGGGAGCAAAUGGG